CUACCAUGCAAGUCGAACGGGAACUGUCCGGAGCUUGCUUCGGAGGGUUUCAGUGGCGGACGGGUGAGUAACGCGUGAGGAACCUGCCUUUCAGAGGGGGAUAACGUCCGGAAACGGACGCUAAUACCGCAUGACAUCCCGGGAUCACAUGGUUCUGGGAUCAAAGGAGCAAUCCGCUGGAAGAUGGACUCGCGUCCGAUUAGCCGGUUGGUGAGGUAACGGCCCACCAAAGCUGCGAUCGGUAGCCGGACUGAGAGGCUGAACGGCCACAUUGGGACUGAGACACGGCCCAGACUCCUACGGGAGGCAGCAGUGGGGGAUCUUGCACAAUGGAGGGAACUCUGAUGCAGCGACGCCGCGUGAGGGAAGACGGUUUUCGGAUUGUAAACCUCUGUCCCCGGUGACGAUAAUGACGGUAGCCGAGGAGGAAGCUCCGGCUAACUACGUGCCAGCAGCCGCGGUAAUACGUAGGGAGCGAGCGUUGUCCGGAUUUACUGGGUGUAAAGGGUGCGUAGGCGGCUGAACAAGUCAGGUGUGAAAACCAUCGGCUCAACUGAUGGAUUGCACUUGAAACUGUGCAGCUUGAGUGAAGCAGAGGCAGGCGGAAUUCCCGGUGUAGCGGUGAAAUGCGUAGAGAUCGGGAGGAACACCAGUGGCGAAGGCGGCCUGCUGGGCUUUAACUGACGCUGAGGCACGAAAGCAUGGGUAGCAAACAGGAUUAGAUACCCUGGUAGUCCAUG
Molecule: ribosomal RNA, 740 nt
Filed under: uncultured bacterium
Lineage: Bacteria
Description: bacterial SSU rRNA
Rfam family: Bacterial small subunit ribosomal RNA
Source: RNAcentral